RNAcentral lists this ribosomal RNA (370 nucleotides) under Rosenbergiella sp. RNAcentral's name for it is "bacterial SSU rRNA". It matches the Rfam family "Bacterial small subunit ribosomal RNA", at positions 547 to 917 of the family's 1533-position model. The record is from RNAcentral. Lineage: Bacteria; Pseudomonadati; Pseudomonadota; Gammaproteobacteria; Enterobacterales; Erwiniaceae.
UAAUACUUGGGCGUAAGCGCACGCAGGGGGUUUGUUAAGUCAGAUGUGAAAUCCCCGGGUANNANNUGGGAACUGCAUUUGAAACUGGCAAGCUUGAAUCUUGNAAAGGGGGGUAGAAUUCCAGGUGUAGCGGUGAAAUGCGUAGAGAUCUGGAGGAAUACCGGUGGCGAAGGCGGCCUCCCUGGACAAAGACUGACGCUCAGGUGCGAAAGCGUGGGGAGCAAACAGGAUUAGAUACCCUGGUAGUCCACGCCGUAAACGAUGUCGACUUGGAGGCUGUUCCCUUGAGGAGUGGCUUCCGGAGCUAACGCGUUAAGUCGACCGCCUGGGGAGUACGGCCGCAAGGUUAAAACUCAAAAAAAUUGACGGA